Molecule: ribosomal RNA, 270 nt
Filed under: uncultured bacterium
Lineage: Bacteria
Description: partial 16S ribosomal RNA
Rfam family: Bacterial small subunit ribosomal RNA
Source: RNAcentral
AGUGAACGCUGGCGGCAUGCCUAACACAUGCAAGUCGAACGGUAACAGGCCCGCAAGGGUGCUGACGAGUGGCGGACGGGUGAGGAAUACAUCGGAAUUUGCCCAGUCGUGGGGGAUAACGUAGGGAAACUUACGCUAAUACCGCAUACGACCUAACGGUGAAAGCGGGGGAUCGCAAGACCUCGCGCGGAUGGAUAAGCCGAUGUCGGAUUAGCUAGUUGGCGGGGUAAAGGCCCACCAAGGCGACGAUCCGUAGCUGGUCUGAGAGGA